GCGCCGUGGCGGAGGUCGCGCGCGGCAUCAGCGGGCGCGACCAGGCACAGGGUCCGGUCGGCAGGUUCCAUGCCUUCACGCCGCGCC
Molecule: transfer RNA, 87 nt
Filed under: Alphaproteobacteria bacterium ADurb.BinA305
Lineage: Bacteria; Pseudomonadati; Pseudomonadota; Alphaproteobacteria
Description: tRNA-Ser
Source: RNAcentral